UUUAAACAUGAGAGUUUGAUCUUGGCUCAGGACGAACGCUGGCGGCAUGCCUAAUACAUGCAAGUCGAACGAUGACGUCACUGCUUGCAGUGACUGAUUAGUGGCGAACGGGUGAGUAACACGUGAGGAACUUGCCCAUGAGCGGGGGACAACAUUCGGAAACGGAUGCUAAUACCCCAUAGGUGGAUUGGUCGCAUGACGAAUUCAUUAAAGGUGGCUUUGCUACCACUCAUGGAUAGCCUCGCGGCGUAUUAGCUAGUUGGUAAGGUAAUGGCUUACCAAGGCAGUGAUACGUAGCCGACUUGAGAGGGUGAUCGGCCACACUGGGACUGAGACACGGCCCAGACUCCUACGGGAG
Molecule: ribosomal RNA, 358 nt
Filed under: Dolosigranulum pigrum
Lineage: Bacteria; Bacillati; Bacillota; Bacilli; Lactobacillales; Carnobacteriaceae
Description: bacterial SSU rRNA
Rfam family: Bacterial small subunit ribosomal RNA
Source: RNAcentral